CCCACCGGGGCUAUUUUGUGUAUCACUGAUAGGGUGCUCACAUCUCCUAAUACUCUGAGAAAAAGGGGGCACUGAAGAACUAUGUGAUCAGCUGAGGAUCAUUGAUGAGGUAUUACGUUGCAGAUCCUCAAGCCAAUUUUCCCAUAAUGGGUGGGAAUAACAAACCCAUGAGGCGCUACAGCUGCCAUGCUGGUAUGCCUGCACAACAAGGCAGAGGAGUGACUUUGACACAGGCGGCUGACCUGGCUAGCCAAAAUGGAAAUGUAACACAAGAGGUGUGAACAUGGGCUGACAACCAAGAAAAAAUGUCUACUCAGUCUCCUUCUGGUAAUGAACAUCAGAACAGUGUCUGAGCCAUGCACAACUGCAGCAAGAGAAGCAGCUGAUGUUUCCUCCUGUUACUUCACUUUGACAUCUCUUCAGUUUGCCUUGAUAAUGUGCUUUUUAUUUACACAUACACACACACUUUUUCUUCAAGAAUUCUAUGCUUGUCACACCUAAUGAUUUAUUCACUUGUCAACCUUUUUUUUAGGUUGACAAAUAUCCUUUAGAGAUAAGGCCUUUGAAAAUAUGGUGCCAGUAAUUAAAAUGAAGAAUGUGUUACAGUAAAAAGUAGAAACAUGGGUCUAAAAGCUACACUGGUAUUUGUAGUGAUUUGAGUA
This is a long non-coding RNA of Melopsittacus undulatus (budgerigar), 662 nucleotides long. RefSeq lists it as uncharacterized. NCBI's taxonomy places the organism in Eukaryota, Metazoa, Chordata, Aves, Psittaciformes, Psittaculidae. The record is from RefSeq and is a predicted model, not a curated record. The transcript is spliced from 3 exons.